Molecule: ribosomal RNA, 718 nt
Filed under: uncultured Gammaproteobacteria bacterium
Lineage: Bacteria; Pseudomonadati; Pseudomonadota; Gammaproteobacteria
Description: bacterial SSU rRNA
Rfam family: Bacterial small subunit ribosomal RNA
Source: RNAcentral
GGACCUCGCGCUAUUGGAGGAGCCUGCGUCGGAUUAGCUAGUUGGUGGGGUAAAGGCCUACCAAGGCGACGAUCCGUAGCUGGUCUGAGAGGACGAUCAGCCACACUGGAACUGAGACACGGUCCAGACUCCUACGGGAGGCAGCAGUUAGGAAUCUUGGGCAAUGGGCGCAAGCCUGACCCAGCCAUGCCGCGUGUGUGAAGAAGGCCUUCGGGUUGUAAAGCACUUUCAGCGGUGAAGAAAAGCUCGGGGCCAAUACCCCAUGAGUCUUGACGUUAACCGCAGAAGAAGCACCGGGUAACUCCGUGCCAGCAGCCGCGGUAAUACGGAGGGUGCGAACGUUAAUCGGAAUCACUGGGCGUAAAGCGCGCGUAGGCGGUUUGUUAAGUGGGAUGUGAAAUCCCCGGGCUUAACCUGGGAAUUGCAUUUCAGACUGGUCGACUAGAGUACGAUAGAGGGAGGUAGAAUUUCCUGUGUAGCGGUGAAAUGCGUAGAUAUAGGAAGGAAUACCAGUGGCGAAGGCGGCCUCCUGGAUCGAUACUGACGCUGAGGCGCGAAAGCGUGGGUAGCAAACAGGAUUAGAUACCCUGGUAGUCCACGCCGUAAACGAUGUCGACUAGCCGUUGGUCCUAUUUACAGGAUUAGUGGCGCAGCUAACGCAUUAAGUCGACCGCCUGGGGAGUACGGCCGCAAGGUUAAAACUCAAAGGAAUUGACGG